Molecule: ribosomal RNA, 136 nt
Filed under: Propithecus coquereli (Coquerel's sifaka)
Lineage: Eukaryota; Metazoa; Chordata; Mammalia; Primates; Indriidae
Source: RNAcentral
GUCUAUGGCCAUACCACCCUGAACAUACCUGAUCUCGUCAGCUAAGCAGGGUUGGGCCUGGUUAGUACUUGGAUGGCAAAGAAAAGAAAAAAAUUGUGUGACCUUGUGCAAAUCCUGAACCUCAGUUUCCUUGACU